RNAcentral lists this ribosomal RNA (2260 nucleotides) under human gut metagenome. RNAcentral's name for it is "bacterial LSU rRNA". It matches the Rfam family "Bacterial large subunit ribosomal RNA", at positions 14 to 2293 of the family's 2925-position model. The record is from RNAcentral.
AGGGCAUACGGCGGAUGCCUAGGCGCCAUCAGCCGAUGAAGGACGCGGUAAGCUGCGAAAAGCUACGGGGAACUGCAAGCAAGUAUUGAUCCGUAGAUGUCCGAAUGGGGAAACCCACCUGCCGUCAUGGGCAGGUAUCCGAAAGGAAGGGAACCCGGGGAACUGAAACAUCUAAGUACCCGGAGGAAGAGAAAUCAAACGAGAUGCCCACAGUAGCGGCGAGCGAAGAGGGCAGAGGGCAAACCGGGGAGCUACGGCUCUUCGGGGUUGAGGACUGCAUUUAGUCUUAAUGGUCUAUCCGAACUACCUGGAAAGGUAGGCAACACAGUGUAAAAGCCACGUAGGUUAAAGGCCAGAGAGAUGAGCAGUAUCCAGAGUACCACGAGGCACGAGGAAUCUUGUGGGAAGCCGGGGGGACCACCCUCCAACCCUAAACACUGAAUGGCGACCGAUAGCGCAUAGUACCGUGAGGGAAAGGUGAAAAGAACCCCGGGAGGGGAGUGAAAGAGAACCUGAAACCGUAUGUCUACAAGCAGUCGGAGCGAAAGCGACGGCGUGCCUAUUGAAGAAUGAACCAACGAGUUACGUGCACUAGCGAGGUUAAGUGGAAGACACGGAGCCGAAGCGAAAGCGAGUCUUAAGAGGGCGGAUAGUUAGUGUACGUAGACCCGAAACCGCAGUGAUCUACCCAUGUCCAGGUUGAAGCGCAGGUAAAAUUGCGUGGAGGACCGAACCUGUGAGCGUUGAAAAGCUUUAGGAUGAGAUGUGGGUAGAGGUGAAAUUCCAAUCGAACGCGGAGAUAGCUGGUUCUCCCCGAAAUAGCUUUAGGGCUAGCCUCAAGUAGUAAGUAUAGGCGGUAGAGCACUGAUCGGGCUAGGGGCCAUAAAGGUUACCGAACCCUGUCAAACUCCGAAUGGUUAUACUGUAGAGCUUGGGAGUCAGACUACGAGUGAUAAGAUCCGUGGUCAAAAGGGAAACAGCCCAGACCACCAGCUAAGGUCCCCAAUGUCGUACUAAGUGGAAAAGGAUGUGGGGUCUCUAAAACAACCAGGAUGUUGGCUUAGAAGCAGCCACCAUUUAAAGAGUGCGUAAUAGCUCACUGGUCGAGAGACCCUGCGCCGAAGAUUACCGGGGCUAAAGUACGAAACCGAAGCUGUGGCUACGACUUAGGUCGUGGGGUAGGGGAGCGUUCUGUGAGGGCUGAAGUCGUUCUGUAAGGAACGGUGGACUUCACAGAAGUGAGAAUGUUGGUAUGAGUAGCGAAAAGAAUGGUGAGAAUCCAUUCCACCGAAAGCAUAAGGAUUCCUGGGCAACGAUCGUCGUCCCAGGGUAAGUCGGGACCUAAUCCGAGGCAUGGAGCGUAGGAGAUGGACAACUGGCAGAUAUUCCAGUACCGGUAAUGAUUGUUUGAGCGAUGGAGUGACACAGGAGGGCAGGCAGGCAGGAGAUUGGUUGUUCCUGUACAAGCGUGUAGGGUGGAACGUAGGCAAAUCCGCGUUCUGAGAGCCUGAGGCGUGAUGUGGAGGUUCCGGAAACGGAACCGAAGCUGCUGACCCCACACUGUCGAGAAAAGCUUCUAGUUAGAGAAUUACCGCCCGUACCGUAAACCGACACAGGUAUGCGGGGAGAGAAUCCUAAGGUGCGCGGGAGAACCCUCGUUAAGGAACUCGGCAAAAUGUACCCGUAACUUCGGGAUAAGGGUAGCCGCUGUUGUGAAGUCUGAACAGACGGAGCAUGAGGCGGUCGCAGAGAAGAGGCCCAAGCGACUGUUUACCACAAACACAGGUGCCUGCUAAAGAGAAAUCUGACGUAUAGGUGCUGACACCUGCCCAGUGCCGGAAGGUUAAGGAAGGAUGUCCGGAGCAAUCCAAAGCAUUCGACCGAAGCCCCGGUGAACGGCGGCCGUAACUAUAACGGUCCUAAGGUAGCGAAAUUCCUUGUCGGGUAAGUUCCGACCCGCACGAAAGGUGUAACGAUUUGGGCACUGUCUCAACGAGGGACCCGGUGAAAUUGAAGUACCUGUGAAGAUGCAGGUUACCCGCGACUGGACAGAAAGACCCCAUGGAGCUUUACUGUAACCUGACAUUGGGUUCUGAUACAUCACGUACAGGAUAGGUGGGAGGCAUGGAAGCGAGGACGCUAGUCUUCGUGGAGCCGCCGUUGGGAUACCACCCUUGAUGUAUCGGAAUUCUAACCGUAGGAGUAACGAAACUCGGGACAGUGUCAGGCGGGCAGUUUGACUGGGGCGGUCGCCUCCCAA